GCAUGGCUGUCGUCAGCUCGUGUCGUGAGAUGUUGGGUUAAGUCCCGCAACGAGCGCAACCCUUGCCAUUAGUUGCUACGAAAGGGCACUCUAAUGGGACUGCCGGUGACAAACCGGAGGAAGGUGGGGAUGACGUCAAGUCCUCAUGGCCCUUAUAGGUGGGGCUACACACGUCAUACAAUGGCUGGUACAGAGGGUUGCCAACCCGCGAGGGGGAGCUAAUCCCAUAAAGCCAGUCGUAGUCCGGAUCGCAGUCUGCAACUCGACUGCGUGAAGUCGGAAUCGCUAGUAAUCGCGGAUCAGAA
RNAcentral lists this ribosomal RNA (305 nucleotides) under Paracidovorax citrulli. Its description in RNAcentral is "bacterial SSU rRNA". It matches the Rfam family "Bacterial small subunit ribosomal RNA", at positions 1043 to 1354 of the family's 1533-position model. The record is from RNAcentral. Lineage: Bacteria; Pseudomonadati; Pseudomonadota; Betaproteobacteria; Burkholderiales; Comamonadaceae.